GACGAACGCUGGCGGCGUGCUUAACACAUGCAAGUCGAACGGAAAGGCCCUGCUUUUGUGGGGUGCUCGAGUGGCGAACGGGUGAGUAACACGUGAGUAACCUGCCCUUGACUUUGGGAUAACUUCAGGAAACUGGGGCUAAUACCGGAUAGGAGCUCCUGCUGCAUGGUGGGGGUUGGAAAGUUUCGGCGGUUGGGGAUGGACUCGCGGCUUAUCCGCUUGUUGGUGGGGUAGUGGCUUACCAAGGCUUUGACGGGUAGCCGGCCUGAGAGGGUGACCGGCCCCAUUGGGACUGAGAUACGGCCCAGACUCCUACGGGAGGCAGCAGUGGGGAAUAUUGCACAAUGGGCUGAAGCCUGAUGCAGCAACGCCGCGUGCGGGAUGACGGCCUUCGGGUUGUAAACCGCUUUCGCCUGUGACGAAGCGUGAGUGACGGUAAUGGGUAAAGAAGCACCGGCUAACUACGUG
Molecule: ribosomal RNA, 468 nt
Filed under: uncultured bacterium
Lineage: Bacteria
Description: partial 16S ribosomal RNA
Rfam family: Bacterial small subunit ribosomal RNA
Source: RNAcentral